CCCACAUGAGAGGUGAUGGCUUGGUCUAGGAUGGUAGCAGCGGACAUGGAGCGAAGUGGUUGUAUUCUAGACAGAAUACAAAGGUAGAGUGAACUGGCCGUGCUAAGGGAAUACCUGAGGAAUUGGGAGAAAGAGUGAAGGAUGCCCUCAGGAUUUAUGACCAAAGCAACUGCAGUGAAUUUUGGAGUUGUGACUUAAUGUUGGCACUGUCACUUCCCAACUGUUGGGAAGCAAUGUGGGUGGAGCAGAUUUGGGAGUAGGAGGGUAAGGUAAAAGCUUAUAUUGCGACAAAGCAAAAAUGUUGAAAGAAAUUACCAAGUUAGUUUUUAUUUUUUACCAUGUACUUGAUAUUAGAAAUGUCUCUUUUAGCCCUUGCAUCAGACACAGUUUCUAUAAAUAAACAGUUUCCCUAAAACUGAAGCUUGCACCUGCUUGAGAGUUGGUGGAUUAUUGGUGGCGGGUCCGCUGAGCUUUUAAAAUUUUAAGUCAAAUUAUCAUGUUCAUAAUACUUUUCCUUCCUGACUUUAAAAAGUUGAAAAUACAAUUUCAGUGAAAGACGACAGUAGCCCCUCUGAAAUAUUCUACAGUUAACACAACCGAGGAGAAAGCUCACACAAACGUAGCCAUCCUCCCCACUGUGGGGAGUUCGUCUCAGGGUCUUCUGGGGCCUGGCCUAGCCUGGCCUUCUCUCUGACAAGGUGUUACUAAAAGUUUACCAUGAGAAACCUGGAGAUUCCUUUGAAGACAAAAUCACAGCUGUUUCUUACGCUGCUCCACUUCCUGCUCUUCCUUGGAUGAAGCAGUUGAGGAACAGAACUUUCACGGUCCCGGAAGCUCCAGCCUUUGAGCUUGGCCUUGGAGCGAAGAGAGAGGAAUUGGGCCAGCUGUUUGCCCAGGUCUGAUCAAACGUGAAUCUGUGGUUCUCGGCUGACAUCACGUUUUCUUCAGCUUUAUUUGUAACUUGAUGAAGGUGGACCCAAGAAGAUCUGAAAACCUUUAUAGUUUAAUAUUGAGUUGUUUGAGAAGAUCUCUCCUUUUCAUGAGCAUUCUGCUGAAUUCAGUGCAAGCAGCUUGCUGUUUCUUUGCUGCAGGCCUGUGCUGUUAUGUGCCUGUGAUUUCACUAACCUUUUGGCUCAGAAAAUGAAGAGCUGAAAAGAAAAACAUCCUAGAAGCUGUCAAAAAUUCAAUUUAAUAUCAUGGGCUCUAAAUGAUGACAUUUCUGAAAAAUCAUUUUCAUUUUCAAAAGCUUGACAGGUUUCCUAAUUUUUAGUUGUCUGUAGACAUAGUAAAUAAAGAUCAUGAACAUUCAGAGCUUUACUCUUGAUUUCUGGGGGUUACUUUUUGUUGUUGUUGUUGUUUGUGUUUUUGUUUGUUUUGAGGAAAAUUAGCCCUGAGCUAACAUCUGUGGCCAAUCCUUCUCCUUUUGCUGAGGACGACUGGCCCUGAACUAACAUCUGUGCCCAUCUUCCUCUACUUUAUAUGUGGGACGCCUGUCACAGCAUGGCUUGAUAAGUGAUCCGUAGGUC
This 1526-nucleotide long non-coding RNA is filed under the name Equus asinus (donkey). RNAcentral's name for it is "lncRNA (ENSEASG00005025703.1)". The record is from RNAcentral. Lineage: Eukaryota; Metazoa; Chordata; Mammalia; Perissodactyla; Equidae.